UUACGGCCAUAACAUGUUGAAAACCGGUUCCUGUAUGAUCACUAGAUUUAAGCAAAGUCGAGCCUGGCCAGUACCUGGAUGGGUGACCGUUUGGGAAUACCAGGUGCUGUAAG
Non-coding RNA from Acanthosepion pharaonis, 113 nucleotides. The record is from the annotation of a GenBank genome assembly. Lineage: Eukaryota; Metazoa; Mollusca; Cephalopoda; Sepiida; Sepiidae.